GAUGAACGCUGGCGGCGUGCCUAAUACAUGCAAGUCGAGCGAACAGACGAGGAGCUUGCUCCUCUGACGUUAGCGGCGGACGGGUGAGUAACACGUGGAUAACCUACCUAUAAGACUGGGAUAACUUCGGGAAACCGGAGCUAAUACCGGAUAAUAUAUUGAACCGCAUGGUUCAAUAGUGAAAGACGGUUUUGCUGUCACUUAUAGAUGGAUCCGCGCCGCAUUAGCUAGUUGGUAAGGUAACGGCUUACCAAGGCAACGAUGCGUAGCCGACCUGAGAGGGUGAUCGGCCACACUAGAACUGAGACACGGUCCAGACUCCUACGGGAGGCAGCAGUAGGGAAUCUUCCGCAAUGGGCGAAAGCCGGACGGAGCAACGCCGCGUGAGUGAUGAAGGUCUUCGGAUCGUAAAACUCUGUUAUUAGGGAAGAACAAAUGUGUAAGUAACUAUGCACGUCUUGACGGUACCUAAUCAGAAAGCCACGGCUAACUACGUG
Molecule: ribosomal RNA, 497 nt
Filed under: uncultured bacterium
Lineage: Bacteria
Description: partial 16S ribosomal RNA
Rfam family: Bacterial small subunit ribosomal RNA
Source: RNAcentral